GAUGAACGCUGGCGGCGUGCCUAAUACAUGCCAGUCGAGCGAACAGACGAGGAGCUUGCUCCUCUGACGUUAGCGGCGGACGGGUGAGUAACACGUGGAUAACCUACCUAUAAGACUGGGAUAACUUCGGGAAACCGGAGCUAAUACCGGAUAAUAUAUUGAACCGCAUGGUUCAAUAGUGAAAGACGGUUUUGCUGUCACUUAUAGAUGGAUCCGCGCCGCAUUAGCUAGUUGGUAAGGUAACGGCUUACCAAGGCAACGAUGCGUAGCCGACCUGAGAGGGUGAUCGGCCACACUGGAACUGAGACACGGUCCAGACUCCUACGGGAGGCAGCAGUAGGGAAUCUUCCGCAAUGGGCGAAAGCUUGACGGAGCAAUGCCGCGUGAGUGAUGAAGGUCUUCGGAUCGUAAAACUCUGUUAUUAGGGAAGAACAAAUGUGUAAGUAACUAUGCACGUCUUGACGGUACCUAAUCAGAAAGCCACGGCUAACUACGUG
Molecule: ribosomal RNA, 497 nt
Filed under: uncultured bacterium
Lineage: Bacteria
Description: partial 16S ribosomal RNA
Rfam family: Bacterial small subunit ribosomal RNA
Source: RNAcentral